UGGUGUAGUGAUAACACGCUCGCCUCGCAUGUCAGAUGUCCGGGGUUCAAAUCCCUG
RNAcentral lists this transfer RNA (57 nucleotides) under Clonorchis sinensis. It matches the Rfam family "tRNA", at positions 8 to 63 of the family's 71-position model. From Rfam's summary of the family: Transfer RNA (tRNA) molecules are approximately 80 nucleotides in length. Their secondary structure includes four short double-helical elements and three loops (D, anti-codon, and T loops). The record is from Rfam by way of RNAcentral. Lineage: Eukaryota; Metazoa; Platyhelminthes; Trematoda; Opisthorchiida; Opisthorchiidae.